GACGAACGCUGGCGGCGUGCUUAACACAUGCAAGUCGAACGGAAAGGCCCUUCGGGGUACUCGAGUGGCGAACGGGUGAGUAACACGUGGGUGAUCUGCCCUGCACUUUGGGAUAAGCCUGGGAAACUGGGUCUAAUACCGAAUAGGACCACGCGCUUCAUGGUGUGUGGUGGAAAGCUUUUGCGGUGUGGGAUGGGCCCGCGGCUUAUCAGCUUGUUGGUGGGGUAAUGGCUUACCAAGGCGACGACGGGUAGCCGGCCUGAGAGGGUGACCGGCCACAGUGGGACUGAGAUACGGCCCAGACUCCUACGGGAGGCAGCAGUGGGGAAUAUUGCACAAUGGGCGGAAGCCUGAUGCAGCAACGCCGCGUGAGGGAUGACGGCCUUCGGGUUGUAACCCGCUUUAGACGGGGACGAAGCGAGAGUGACGGUAAUUAGAAAAGAAGCACCGGCUAACUACGUG
RNAcentral lists this ribosomal RNA (462 nucleotides) under uncultured bacterium. RNAcentral's name for it is "partial 16S ribosomal RNA". It matches the Rfam family "Bacterial small subunit ribosomal RNA", at positions 28 to 507 of the family's 1533-position model. The record is from RNAcentral.